GCCAGACUCCUACGGGAGGCAGCAGUGAGGAAUAUUGGUCAAUGGUCGGGAGACUGAACCAGCCAAGCCGCGUGAGGGAGGAAGGUACAGAGUAUCGUAAACCUCUUUUGUCAGGGAACAAAGACUGGGACGCGUCCCCGGAUGAGUGUACCUGAAGAAAAAGCAUCGGCUAACUCCGUGCCAGCAGCCGCGGUAAUACGGAGGAUGCGAGCGUUAUCCGGAUUUAUUGGGUUUAAAGGGUGCGCAGGCGGCUGUGUAAGCGAGGGGCGAAAGCCGGGGGCGCACCCCCGGCCCGCCGUUGAAACUGGCAGUCUCGAGUUGGAGAGAAGUAUGCGGAAUGCGCAGUGUAGCGGUGAAAUGCAUAGAUAUUGCGCAGAACUCCGAUUGCGAAGGCAGCCUACCGGCGCCUGUCUGACGCUGAGGCACGAAAGCGUGGGUAUCGAACAGGAUUAGAUACCCGCGUACA
Molecule: ribosomal RNA, 466 nt
Filed under: uncultured bacterium
Lineage: Bacteria
Description: bacterial SSU rRNA
Rfam family: Bacterial small subunit ribosomal RNA
Source: RNAcentral